RNAcentral lists this ribosomal RNA (524 nucleotides) under uncultured bacterium. Its description in RNAcentral is "partial 16S ribosomal RNA". It matches the Rfam family "Bacterial small subunit ribosomal RNA", at positions 28 to 523 of the family's 1533-position model. The record is from RNAcentral.
GACGAACGCUGGCGGCGUGCCUAAUACAUGCAAGUCGAACGCUUCUUUUUCCACCGGAGCUUGCUCCACCGGAAAAAGAGGAGUGGCGAACGGGUGAGUAACACGUGGGUAACCUGCCCAUCAGAAGGGGAUAACACUUGGAAACAGGUGCUAAUACCGUAUAACAAUCGAAACCGCAUGGUUUUGAUUUGAAAGGCGCUUUCGGGUGUCGCUGAUGGAUGGACCCGCGGUGCAUUAGCUAGUUGGUGGGGUAACGGCUCACCAAGGCCACGGUGCAGAAGCGACCUGCGAGGGCGAGCAGCCACAUUGGGACUGAGACACGGCCCAAACUCCUACGGGAGGCAGCAGUAGGGAAUCUUCGGCAAUGGACGAAAGUCUGACCGAGCAACGCCGCGUGAGUGAAGAAGGUUUUCGGAUCGUAAAACUCUGUUGUUAGAGAAGAACAAGGAUGAGAGUAACUGUUCAUCCCUUGACGGUAUCUAACCAGAAAGCCACGGCUAACUACGUGCCAGCAGCCGCCGUAA